This 1491-nucleotide long non-coding RNA is filed under the name Mus caroli (Ryukyu mouse). Its description in RNAcentral is "predicted gene, 26912 (MGP_CAROLIEiJ_G0004919.1)". Lineage: Eukaryota; Metazoa; Chordata; Mammalia; Rodentia; Muridae. The record is from RNAcentral.
GCUCCCCGCCCCACCCGAGCUCUUGCUCCGUGUGCUACUCCUGGAGCAGAUGAAGAAACUGACGCGGGGGCGGGGUCCUACAGAGAACCCAGGCGUUUCCAGGGAACAUAGCUGUUGCCGGUCAGAGCUCCGAGAAUAUUUGCAGCGAGAAAACUGGGGAACCAGCGCCGUUGUCAUGGCUGAAUCAAACUUAGAAUACGGAAAGCCAGACAGAAAGCGAAGAACGACCGCGAACUUCACAGCAUCGAGUCACCAGCAGCUGCUAGGACCUUAGCUGCCUUCCUGCGGACCUGAACCCCGUGCUAGUCCGCCCCCCGCAAGGUCUGAUUAUUUAUUUGUCAUUCUUAAAGACUAUUUUUGACUGGACUCAGAAGUAGAAACUCUCAGCGAGAACAGCGCACGCCACUUGGCGAUCUAUCUGUUCCUGGAGUUUUUCUUUGGCUUCCCUCAUUUUCUUGGCCAAAAGUUUAGCCUGUUCUACAGCCUCCUCCUCGUUUCCCCAGUGCCCGUGCGUACGAAGCACCUCGGGGAGUGGCUGCGAUUUCCCUGUUCUGGAUCUUUCAGCUUCCUCCUGACACGGCCUGGAAUUCAUUUCUAGCUUUCUUUCAAAUCGAGGCAGCUCUCCCGCCUCGGCCUUCCGAAUACUAAGAUUACAGGCACGCGCCACCACGCCAGGCUCAAAAAUGUCUUUAUAAAUCGUUGCUAAGUCCAGUAACGCAUGGAGUGAACGAGACUGAAGUUUUUCUCAAAAACAAAACAAACAAAAGAGCCACCACCUCUGCAUCUUGGUUUAAGUUCGGACAAUAUCACGGACGUACACGAACUUUGUAUCUGGCAACCUCUUGGCCAGAGUAACACCGCUUUGCAGAUUCCCCUAAAACCUCACCCAAAAUGAGGUGUCGAGCAGAGAGGCAGGAGACCGGAGGCAUUUCCAGAUAGACCGGGACUCUUCAAGCCAGUAAAUAACUUAGCUGGGUGAGGGGGCGCUUGCCCACCUGUAACCCCAGCAUUUGGGAAGUGGAGACAGGGGGAUCAAGAGUUCAAGGUGGCGCAGUCGAGUUCGAGGCCACCUGGUUUUUACCCUCCCUUUCAGCAAGACUCCUACUGUCACGGAAGACACCUGAGUUGAUUCUCCUGGCUUUCUUCACUAAGGCUCCGUGACUCUAAGCUUGUCCUUUUUCUCUCCCCUCUGCAGGGGCUAGUGAUCAAACUCAGGGCUUCGUGCACACAAAGCCGAGUUCAGUCACUGAGUUCUAGCUUUUAUCUUCCUCUUCACAUUUUUAAAUUUUGACAUAGAGCUCUGGAACACACAGUCAGAGGAAGGCAGAACAUUUUCCAUAGAGAAACUGAAGUCCUGCUUGUGAAUUCUGGGCUUGGGGUGAGAUGGAGAAGCAGAAAACAAAUAAGGAAAUGAGAAUAAUUUAAAUGUUUCACUGCACAAUGUGUGCAUAUGAAAACUGUUAGACAAAAAAAAAAAGAAAAAUAGACAAA